RNAcentral lists this ribosomal RNA (410 nucleotides) under uncultured bacterium. RNAcentral's name for it is "bacterial SSU rRNA". It matches the Rfam family "Bacterial small subunit ribosomal RNA", at positions 29 to 418 of the family's 1533-position model. The record is from RNAcentral.
AACGAACGCUGGCGGCGUGGAUUAGGCAUGCAAGUCGAACGCGAAAGAGGGAGCAAUCCCUCGAGUAGAGUGGCGAACGGGUGAGUAACGCGUGAAGAACCUGCCUUCAACAGGGGGAUAACACUCCCAACGGGGUGGCUAAUACCGCAUGAGACCACGGGGUCGCAUGGCCCUGAGGUCAAAGGUGGCCUCUAUUUAUAAGCUACCGGUUGAAGAUGGCUUCGCGUCCCAUUAGCAGUUGGCGGUGUAAAAGACCACCAAGGCGACGAUGGGUAGCUGGUCUGAGAGGAUGGUCAGCCACACUGGGACUGAGAUACGGGCCCAGACUCCUACGGGGAGGCAGCAGUCGAGAGGCUUUGGCAAUGGGGGAAACCCUNACCAAGCGACGCCGCGUGGAGGAUGAAGGCCUU